AAACACACACUUAGGUGUGUUUGGUCGAUUAAAAAACGCAGGGAAUGAGCAGGAGCUUCACACAAACCCUAACUCUCACUAAAUCAAUCAAUUGAAGGCUCUAAUCUGGUCCAAAUCGAAAUCCGAGCACGUAUUAGUGAUCCCCACUGAAAAAGGAGUCACAAGUUUGACUCUAAACAAGCUAGGUGGGAGCUUGGAAAGGAACGGGUCAAACGAAUGAUGGAUGCGAAGGAUGUUUGCGCGGACGCGAGGUAAGUAAAACUUACACCACUUGGAGUAUAUGUGUUUAUUCUAUAAGCGAUGAAUACAAUAAAUGAUUAGGUUCGAAUCAUGGGUUCUGACACGAAACGAAAUGAGUCGGAACCAAUAAAAAUGUUUUAAACCAUGAUUAAUGGUGAAAGAGGCAAAUUGGUAAAUUGGUCAUGUAAUGACUAAUAACUAAUGAGUUUUCGUUAAGAUCACUUUAAAGUGCAACUAAUAACGAGAAAAUAAGUAAAGAUGGAAAAUUAGUCAAGUACCGACUAAAUUAAAUGAUAGUUUAAAGGGUCUAGUGGCAAAAAAAUCCGAAAUGGGUCGGAGGGGCAAAUUGGCCAAACAGGUCAAAUGGCGUGAUAACACUAUUUGA
Molecule: long non-coding RNA, 625 nt
Filed under: Helianthus annuus (common sunflower)
Lineage: Eukaryota; Viridiplantae; Streptophyta; Magnoliopsida; Asterales; Asteraceae
Description: hypothetical non coding rna
Source: RNAcentral